Molecule: small nucleolar RNA, 131 nt
Organism: Pipistrellus kuhlii (Kuhl's pipistrelle)
Lineage: Eukaryota; Metazoa; Chordata; Mammalia; Chiroptera; Vespertilionidae
Product: small nucleolar RNA SNORA38
Exons: 1
Source: RefSeq, a predicted model, not a curated record
CCCUCCUACAAAGGAGUGUCUGUGGCUCCCUAUCUUUGGACACAUAAGAAUUAGAGGCAAAGAAAUGUGAACUUGAAGAAGUCUGGAACCAGCCUACUCCCUACAGGCUCAAGAUCAAUCAUCCCACGUAG